UAACUUACCUGUCAGAGAGAUUUCAUGAGCAAAAAGCAGUUUUCCCAGGGCAAGAUUUAUAUAUUGUACUCCAAAUGUGCUGACCUCUACAAUGUCCACAACUAUGAAAAACUUGACCAUAUAAUUUGUGGUUCUAGAUAAUCACAUUCAUGCUCUCAC
Molecule: small nuclear RNA, 159 nt
Organism: Erinaceus europaeus (western European hedgehog)
Lineage: Eukaryota; Metazoa; Chordata; Mammalia; Eulipotyphla; Erinaceidae
Gene: U1
Rfam family: U1 spliceosomal RNA
About the family: U1 is a small nuclear RNA (snRNA) component of the spliceosome (involved in pre-mRNA splicing). Its 5' end forms complementary base pairs with the 5' splice junction, thus defining the 5' donor site of an intron. There are significant differences in sequence and secondary structure between metazoan and yeast U1 snRNAs, the latter being much longer (568 nucleotides as compared to 164 nucleotides in human).
Source: Ensembl